GUCUAUGGCCACGCCACCCUGAACAAGCCCGAUCCUGUCUGAUCUCGGAAGCUAAGCAGGGUCAGGCCUGGUUAGUGCUUGGAUGGGAGACCACCUAGGAAGACAGGUGCUGUAGGCG
This 118-nucleotide ribosomal RNA is filed under the name Pteropus alecto (black flying fox). The record is from RNAcentral. Lineage: Eukaryota; Metazoa; Chordata; Mammalia; Chiroptera; Pteropodidae.